AUCUUUUGCGUUCAUAAAAGAGUAGGCGAGAAUUGCAAUAACUCUCGCGAGAUUCAGUUGUACGUAUACUUAAUUUGCGUUCUAAUAUGCCUACUCACCUACUAUAUAGUAGGGAAAAAGAGUAUGUGAAGAAAGAAGUACGUUCGAAACCUUGAACCAUAAAACAGUAGGCGAGAAAUCCCCGGAUGUCCUACUGCUUGAGCCAAGAUUCUGAAGGGCUCAUCAAGGGAUACUUUUCAAUCCCAGAAUGCCACGCAAAAGGGAUAAAUCGUCAUCGAACGUGAAGGAGAGCAGCGUAAAGGGUGUUUACAAAGGGACAGAUGAGACAGACAUGUGUUUAUCUGCUGCAGAGAGACUGAUGAAGAAAUGCUGCCAUCAAAGGCUCUCAAUCUUUUGUGGUGGAACAGGUGACAGCAGCAUCUGUGGAAAAAAAACCUGAAAGCAAAAUAUAAAGAUCUGAAAUGUCUGCAGACUGCUGUGUGAACUGAGGAUGGAGAAGAUGGAGUGCAAUGGAUGAAAUGCUCCAUCACUGCAUCUCCUCUUGUUUUCUCAUCAGGACCAGAUGUUGCUGUGGUCUCUUCAUCUUCAGUGACCCCAGAGCCAGCGAGAACAUCUAGAGAAAGACCAAAAGACACUGCUGACCAGUCCAGUUCACUAAAUAACAGAAAUAAUGAAGCUUUAUCAAAUUAACAUGCAAUUGUAAAAAUAUAUAUAAAAUUUAAUUCAGCAAUAAAUAGAAUCUUGACAACAUGAUAUAAAGUGUUUUACUUUGUGUAAGUGUAUUCCAGGUCGUGGUGCUCAUGGUGAGCAGACACAGCAGCAGUCAGAUCGUCCAGCACAUGUUCUCCUGCUCUUGUUCAGGGUCUUCAUCAUGGUGUUCCUCAUCCUCUCUGCACUUAGACAAGGACUCGAUGUCCCUCUCUCAUCAUGAUCAGAUUCAGAUUGUCCCGCACAUGUUCUCCUGCUCUUGUUCAGGGUUGUGUGGUUCAGGGUCUUCAUCAUGGUCUUCUUCAUCCUCUCUGUGCACUCAGACAAGGACUCGAUGUCCCUCUCUCAUCAUGAUCAGAUUCAGUCUGGCUGCAGCAGUGAGGGAUGUGGGAUGGACGGAUGUGGGUUCACCAUCUGUAAACAUUCAAAUACAGAACAAUGUCUGAAUAAAGUAUUGUUUCAUGUGUUGUUGACUUGAUUUUAUUUAUUGUGACGGUUACUUUUAUUUAUUAUUUUACUUGUUUAUUCAUGUCUCCUGUUGUUGUCAGUAAAUAAAAUAUAGCCUAAUUGUUUCAUUAACACAUACAU
Carassius auratus (goldfish) is the source of this 1296-nucleotide long non-coding RNA. RefSeq lists it as uncharacterized. The transcript has 4 exons. NCBI's taxonomy places the organism in Eukaryota, Metazoa, Chordata, Actinopteri, Cypriniformes, Cyprinidae. The record is from RefSeq and is a predicted model, not a curated record.